CGUAGGGUGCAAGCGUUAAUCGGAAUUACUGGGCGUAAAGCGUGCGCAGGCGGUUUUAUAAGUCUGAUGUGAAAUCCCCGGGCUCAACCUGGGAACUGCAUUGGAGACUGUAAGGCUAGAGUGUGUCAGAGGGGGUAGAAUUCCACGUGUAGCAGUGAAAUGCGUAGAUAUGUGGAGGAAUACCGAUGGCGAAGGCAGCCCCCUGGGAUAACACUGACGCUCAUGCACGAAAGCGUGGGGAGCAAACAGGAUUAGAUACCCAGGUAGUCCACGCCCUAAACGAUGUCUACUAGUUGUCGGGUCUUAAUUGACUUGGUAACGCAGCUAACGCGUGAAGUAGACCGCCUGGGGAGUACGGUCGCAAGAUUA
RNAcentral lists this ribosomal RNA (369 nucleotides) under uncultured organism. RNAcentral's name for it is "bacterial SSU rRNA". It matches the Rfam family "Bacterial small subunit ribosomal RNA", at positions 526 to 896 of the family's 1533-position model. The record is from RNAcentral.